GCCGAGACUAGAGUCACAUCUGGACACUGCCUGUUGUCCUGGUGUGCUAGAGUACUCGGACAGUAACCACUAAUCUUAUAUUCACUGGCUGUGACCAUUCUUGACUCAGUCAGUCACCAGGUUAGUGACAGGA
This 133-nucleotide small nucleolar RNA is filed under the name Haliaeetus albicilla (white-tailed eagle). RNAcentral's name for it is "Small nucleolar RNA SNORA3/SNORA45 family". It matches the Rfam family "Small nucleolar RNA SNORA3/SNORA45 family". From Rfam's summary of the family: The members of this family belong to the H/ACA class of snoRNAs which are thought to guide the sites of modification of uridines to pseudouridines. Lineage: Eukaryota; Metazoa; Chordata; Aves; Accipitriformes; Accipitridae. The record is from Rfam by way of RNAcentral.